UAUUGGACAAUGGGCGAAAGCCUGAUCCAGCCAUGCCGCGUGUGUGAAGAAGGCCUUCGGGUUGUAAAGCACUUUCAGCGAGGAAGAACGCCUAGUGGUUAAUACCCAUUAGGAAAGACAUCACUCGCAGAAGAAGCACCGGCUAACUCCGUGCCAGCAGCCGCGGUAAUACGGAGGGUGCAAGCGUUAAUCGGAAUUACUGGGCGUAAAGCGCGCGUAGGUGGCUUGAUAAGCCGGUUGUGAAAGCCCCGGGCUCAACCUGGGAACGGCAUCCGGAACUGUCAAGCUAGAGUGCAGGAGAGGAAGGUAGAAUUCCCGGUGUAGCGGUGAAAUGCGUAGAGAUCGGGAGGAAUACCAGUGGCGAAGGCGGCCUUCUGGACUACACGACACUGAGGUGCGAAA
This 402-nucleotide ribosomal RNA is filed under the name uncultured bacterium. Its description in RNAcentral is "bacterial SSU rRNA". It matches the Rfam family "Bacterial small subunit ribosomal RNA", at positions 362 to 758 of the family's 1533-position model. The record is from RNAcentral.